RNAcentral lists this non-coding RNA (83 nucleotides) under Thermobacillus composti. Its description in RNAcentral is "ZTP sequence". It matches the Rfam family "ZMP/ZTP riboswitch aptamer (pfl RNA motif)". Rfam says of the family: Previously known as pfl RNA. ZMP is also known as AICAR. Lineage: Bacteria; Bacillati; Bacillota; Bacilli; Caryophanales; Paenibacillaceae. The record is from RNAcentral. RNAcentral also lists the same sequence under 1 other name.
CGGGUCCGAUGUGACUGGCGACGUUAAGUGGGGAACCACGGUGGAGCAUCGGACGAUAUUGGCCGGUCGCCUGGGCAAAGAGC